CAGCAGCCGCGGUAACACGUAGGGUGCGAGCGUUAAUCGGAAUUACUGGGCGUAAAGCGUGCGCAGGCGGUUAUAUAAGACAGAUGUGAAAUCCCCGGGCUCAACCUGGGACCUGCAUUUGUGACUGUAUAGCUAGAGUACGGUAGAGGGGGAUGGAAUUCCGCGUGUAGCAGUGAAAUGCGUAGAUAUGCGGAGGAACACCGAUGGCGAAGGCGAUCCCCUGGACCUGUACUGACGCUCAUGCACGAAAGCGUGGGGAGCAAACAGGAUUAGAUACCCGCGUAGUCCCUGUCUCUUAUAC
This 301-nucleotide ribosomal RNA is filed under the name uncultured bacterium. RNAcentral's name for it is "partial 16S ribosomal RNA". It matches the Rfam family "Bacterial small subunit ribosomal RNA", at positions 509 to 807 of the family's 1533-position model. The record is from RNAcentral.